Molecule: unclassified non-coding RNA, 1222 nt
Filed under: Leishmania donovani
Lineage: Eukaryota; Euglenozoa; Kinetoplastea; Trypanosomatida; Trypanosomatidae
Description: gene:LdHU3.25.2160(CDS-product:Elongation_factor_ P_(EF-P)_KOW-like_domain_containing_protein_putative)
Source: RNAcentral
UACAAGAAAACAACGCACGCGCGCGCAGACGCAGAUCGCCCCCUUCUCUUCCUUUGCCUUCAUGUGGAGGUGCUGGAAACGCUCUCUGCCCAUCACGGCGCGUGUGGCAGGCCCUAGUGCACGGCUCCCAGUGGCCGCGUCGUCGUCGCUCCUUACCCAACACCGCGGCGUCUUCGCCGAUAAGGUGCGCGCUGGUAUGGUGCUGCGCGUGGAUAAGAGGGUGUACCGUGUCGUGGCCAACACGCGUUCGCAGAAGGGUCAGAACGCCGCCUCCUUCAACAUCAAGCUCACGGAGGUGGGCACGAGUCGAAAGAAAGAGGUGACGGCUGGUCAAGGGCACGACUUUACGGAGGUGCGCGCGGAGCGCGUUCGCCUUCUCUUCAGCGGCUUCGACGAUGACGACCUCGCCUGCUUCGUCUUCCCGGCGCACAGCCCAGACGCGGGCAAGGAAGUGAAUAUCCCAGGGGACUCGCUACCAGAGGUACAGCAGAAGUUCUUGGCGUGUGCGAUGCCGGUGGACAUUCUGCACAUCAUCCCGGACGACGACGCCCCCGAGAAGGAGAUGUGGACAGAGAUCACGAUGCCGAGCAGCUACGUCUACACGGUGGAGAAGAUUGCACUGAAGGGGCUCUACAAGAUGGCGACCUUUGUGGAGUGCGACGGCACCGUCAGCGUGAAUGAUCAGAUUCAGCUAGGCGACAAGAUAAAGGUCGUGAUUAAGCCGGACGGCACCGUGUCAUUUGGCGGGCGCGCGAACGCAUAAAAAUGGCAUACGGGAGGAGGGGGAGGGGUGGGGGCGAAGGGGCCGUGGAGGCGGUGAAGACGACGGUGGAGAGCAGAAAACACAAAAAAAAAAACAGCGGCGCUCGACUGCGGAGGAGGGCUCGAGGGGGAGGUGACAGCGGUGGUGGUGGUGGUGAGCACCACUGGUCGUGGGCUAACGCGGCGUGCAGGAGUACGCCGCGUUUCUGCUAUAUUUCCCUCUGGCUUUGGGCCGUGCACUGCAUAUCUAUCCCCGCCUUCACGGAAAUGCUCCCGGCGCUGUGGCAGUGUGUUGUUGUGCCGGCGGCUGCGGUGACAUUCUGCGCGCAUGCGUAUGGCAGGGUAUCCACCUUCUUCUAUUGAAGAAACGUGGCAUGGCAGCCUGGCGUCGCAACGAGGCGUCGCAAGUGCCUCCGAGAGUACAGCGUCAGUGUUGCCGCGUCUGAUCACGGUCUUCUUC